Molecule: unclassified non-coding RNA, 747 nt
Filed under: uncultured Frankia sp.
Lineage: Bacteria; Bacillati; Actinomycetota; Actinomycetes; Frankiales; Frankiaceae
Description: bacterial SSU rRNA
Rfam family: Bacterial small subunit ribosomal RNA (bases 1-421)
Source: RNAcentral
CUCGUCCUAUGUUGCCAGCGAGUUCGGGGACUCAUAGGAGACUGCCGGGGUCAACUCGGAGGAAGGUGGGGAUGACGUCAAGUCAUCAUGCCCCUUACGUCUUGGGCUGCACACAUGCUACAAUGGCCGGUACAAAGGGCUGCGAUACCGUGAGGUGGAGCGAAUCCCAAAAAGCCAGUCUCAGUUCGGAUCGGGGUCUGCAACUCGACCCCGUGAAGUCGGAGUCGCUAGUAAUCGCAGAUCAGCAAUGCUGCGGUGAAUACGUUCCCGGCCUUGUACACACCGCCCGUCACGUCACGAAAGUCGGUAACACCCGAAGCCGGUGGCCUAACCCUAGGAGCCGUCGAAGGUGGGACCGGCGAUUGGGACGAAGUCGUAACAAGGUAGCCGUACCGGAAGGUGCGGCUGGAUCACCUCCUUUCUAAGGAGCGUGUCCCGGUUCGCGUCGGGUGGUCCAGGGCCAGGGCCGGGCGAGUGUCCCGGUCUGGUUGCUCGAGGGCGUGGACGCUGACGGUCGCCGGCUGGUGCCGGUUCCUAGUACGGGUGGGAACGGGGCUGUGGGGUCGGGGUCCUGGGCACGUUGGGUCCUGAGGGAGCGAGUUUCUUCGGUGAUCGUGAGUUGGGGGCGGGGUGGGGGGUUCGGUCGCGGGGUCCGCGGUACCGCGUCUGGUCGUGGUGGCGGGGGUUCGUCUGUACUUCGAGAACUGCACAGUGGACGCGAUCUUUGUGGCCAAGUUAUUAAGGGCG